CAAGAAAUAGUUUAUAUUAAAAUAUUAAUUUUGGGGAUUAAUGAAAAAGAAAUUCUUUUUUCUUGA
RNAcentral lists this transfer RNA (66 nucleotides) under Drosophila borborema. RNAcentral describes it as "tRNA-Pro". The record is from RNAcentral. Lineage: Eukaryota; Metazoa; Arthropoda; Insecta; Diptera; Drosophilidae. RNAcentral also lists the same sequence under 1 other name.